Molecule: ribosomal RNA, 468 nt
Filed under: uncultured bacterium
Lineage: Bacteria
Description: partial 16S ribosomal RNA
Rfam family: Bacterial small subunit ribosomal RNA
Source: RNAcentral
GACGAACGCUGGCGGCGUGCUUAACACAUGCAAGUCGAACGGAAAGACCCUGAUCUUGUGGGGUGCUCGAUGGGCGAACGGGGGAGUAACACGUGUGUAACCUGCCCUUGACUUUGGGAUAACUUCAGGAAACUGGGGCUAAUAUCGGAUAGGAGCUCCUGCUGCAUGGUGGGGGUUGGAAAGUUUCGGCGGUUGGGGAUGGAUUAGCGGCUUAUCAGCUUGUUUGUGGGGUAGUGGCUUACCCAGGCUUUGACGGGUAGCCGGCCUGAGAGGGUGAACGGCGACACUGGGACUGAGAGACGGCCCAGACUGCUACGUGAGGCAGCAGGGGGAAAUCUUGCCCAAUGGGCGGAAGGCUGAUGCAGCAACGCCGCGUGCGGGAAGACGGCCUUCGGGUUGUAAACCGCUUUCGCCUGUGACGAAGCGUGAGUGACGGUAAUGGGUAAAGAAGCACCGGCUAACUACGUG